Molecule: RNA transcript, 4563 nt
Organism: Camponotus floridanus (Florida carpenter ant)
Lineage: Eukaryota; Metazoa; Arthropoda; Insecta; Hymenoptera; Formicidae
Gene: Alh
Gene name: protein AF-10
Exons: 16
Source: RefSeq, a predicted model, not a curated record
AUGAAGGAGAUGCUCGGAGGGUGCUGCGUGUGUUCUGACGAGAGGGGAUGGACAGAGAAUCCGCUGGUGUACUGCGAUGGACAGGGCUGUACCGUUGCUGUACAUCAAGCGUGCUAUGGCAUUGUCACUGUACCAACAGGACCUUGGUAUUGUAGGAAGUGCGAGUCGCAAGAACGCAGUGCACGGGUGCGUUGUGAGUUAUGUCCGAGUCGAGAUGGAGCCCUUAAGAGAACAGAUCAGGCUGGAUGGGCGCAUGUUGUGUGCGCUCUUUAUAUCCCAGAAGUUCGAUUUGGUAACGUGACUACAAUGGAACCAAUUAUAUUGCAUCUUAUUCCUUCGGAAAGAUUUAGCAAGACGUGCUACAUCUGUGAGGAACAAGGUAGAGGUAGCAGAGCAAAUGUGGGAGCCUGCAUGCAAUGUAACAAGACAGGCUGCAGGCAGCAAUUUCAUGUCACAUGUGCACAGGCUCUGGGCUUACUUUGCGAGGAAGCUGGCAAUUAUCUUGAUAAUGUCAAAUAUUGCGGAUAUUGCCAGCAUCAUUAUUCAAAAUUGAAAAAGGGUGGCAACGUAAAGACGAUACCACCGUACAAACCGAUACCCGCCGAUAAUGGUUCGUCGGACUCGUCGCCGGAGAAGGAGGCAGAAACACCGAUAAAAUCGUCGAGCGGCAAACGGAAGAGCUUGAGUUCCAAGUCCACUGCGAAUUCUAAAAGUAAAUCCAAUGCUAGUCCCAGUUUAGAGAUAAAUGGCGUAAUGGAUGACAAGAGUGGUGGUAGCGGUCGUAAUACGCCUAAAGAUAAUUCCACGAGUUCCAGCAAAUUUACGACAUCCAACUUUGUGGAGACUAUUGUCACACAGUCGGAGAGCGUGUUUGGGCACGAUGGCACCGGUGCUGUCACCACUGUUGCCACGGCAGCAAUCGCUUCCGCGUUGAAAACAAGCGGUAGCAAUUCGAACGCGGUGCACAAGAGCAUCGGUGGUCAGGGAAAAUCCAAUUCGUCGACUUCCAAUAAGACAUCGAGUCACACCAGCAAGAAGAGAAAGACUGGAGCACGUACGCCGACUGUGAUAGGAAACGAGAACUCGAACCAGUCGGCCAGUUCAGAAACUAGCGGCUCGGUCGUGGUGGCCGUUAGCAGUGUCGUGCAGCAAACCAUCCCGAGCAACAAUGUGCAGCCAACAAUCACCGAAGCCACGAGUUUAAGUACAACGACGGAACCGGAAAAAUCGAAAAAGACAAAAAUGGAGAGCCCGAUUCAGUCGUCAUCGUCGAAUACGCCGGUUGCUACAGAGGCAACCACGACACCUGUGAUAAUGACAGUGACACAAUCCCAGUCCUCGGUCGUCACUCAGUCGCCGACAACUACGUCGAACAGCAUCGUCGUCUCGGUGCCGUUGAUCGCCACCUCGCUCGCCAACACAGUUCAGAGCGUGGUGACGAGCGCGCCGACGAUAUACCAGCAGCUGCAGCAGAGUAUAAUCACCACGGCCGCCAAUACCGAGCUGCGAUCCAGCGCGAUGGUGACCACCGAGAGAUUCGCCGCCGAGGAAACUCCGGCGAAACGAUCUCGUUCCCAAUCAUUGGAUAAGCAAGAGAAAUCGCGCAAGCCGAAGCGCGGCUCGUCCAAUAGCCAAGGAGCCCUGCCGCAAUUGCAGACGGCCUCGUCAGUCGUAACUUCCGUAUCCAGCACCGCAGUUGUGGCGACGUCCAAGAGGGGCGCGAGAAAUAAUCAUCACACUCCUCCACCGGCCGUCACGGUGACUCCUGUGACCUCGGUCCCGACAAUAAUUCAGGGUCCCACAGCCGGCAUCGGACACUUCAGCAGUGUAAGCGGCACAGGCCCUGCAAACAUUAUGGGACCGACAGUCAAGGAGUCACCGCCUAGCAGUCCUGGAUCGGAGAGUAUGAGCAGUAGCACCAGUAAACGAAAGAGGAAAGCUGCCGCAUCUACACCUAUUCCAUCUGCAUCGACUACACCGACCGCUCUUACAACAAUAAAGGAAGAGAAUGUAAAAUUAUUUCAAAAUGGGGUCAGUGCUCCACAUAUGCUAGGGAAUCAGUUGAAUCCUACUUCAACAAUGGCGCAAAAGAUGUCGGAUACACUUUCACAGGAACUCGAGGCCCAUUCUAUUUUUACAGAAGCGAGUAACUCCAGUACAAACUUAGUUGGACCGCAGUUGCACAGUCGAGUAAUUGCAUCUAUACGAUCUAGCCAACCGGGACCGCCUACUUCGUUUUCCUCGGUUUUCUCCACAAACAGCAAUAGUGCGAAUCCUACACCCGGUACUAGUGGAACUCUGGGUGGUGGAACAAUUCCACAGACACUGGAUCAACUUCUAGAAAGGCAAUGGGAGCAGGGAAGUCAAUUUCUAAUGGAGCAAGCUCAACAUUUUGACAUUGCAUCCCUGCUUUCCUGCCUACAUCAAUUGAGAGCUGAGAAUCUUAGGCUAGAGGAACAUGUAAAUAAUCUCCUGCAGAGGAGAGACCAUUUAUUGGCUGUGAAUGCUAGACUCGCUAUUCCGUUGACAACUCAGCCUAGUUCACAUCCAGUGAAUAAUAUACAUCCAACGGUGAACCCCUCUCAUCCUAAUGUCUCGCACUCAGAAGUGCCGCCUGGCGCUCCGGCCCCGGUACCUAGAUCGAGUCGCGAACCGCGAGUGAACAACACUUAUAUGCCUCACUCCAGUUCCAGCGGUCAUCCAACGACGUUGGAAAACGGUUUACCACCGGAUCCCUCCCCACCUGCAGCAGCUUCUCUCUCUCAGUAUCAGCAUCGUGGAUCAUUGGUCGCGCCACAACCAAGCCCAACAAUUAGGCACAGUCCAGCCGGAGGUGGAUACCUUCAAGGUCAACCGAGCAACAUAGUAUCGCCGGCACCGGCGAACACUUCCGGUGUGGUCCGUAAUUCAUCUGUCACGCCGGAUCCAUUACGCGGAGUGCCGAGGUCGGCGUCGCAGUCGUCGAGCAGUUACAUACCGUCGAUGUAUCAGCCUACUAUGUCCAGUCUCACUGGUAAUCAAGUAGGCAACGUUCAUAAUCUCCAUCCGCACGGACCUUCGCCGACCAGCCACGGGCCACCGGGUAAACCCAGCUGAAGGCAUCAUCAUAUGUGAACAGCAAAUCCACAGAUGUACAAAUCUUAGACUCGGACUGAAUCGAAGAUCAUGGACUUAUCGAGCAGAAGACGCGUCUUAUCAGACACGAGGGAGAUUGCGAAUCGAUCGGGGUUAGGCGACUUGCGCUCUAUUCUCUCUUUUGGGCCCCCCGGUGCCACGAAAUCGUCCCUAAUUGUCCACAAAUCGACAACCACCCUCGAUUUCCCGAACCGUUAAAUACAGCCACCCCGAAGGCAGCAAUUGAACGGGAAAGAGGAGGGAGGAGUGGUUCCACUAGUCCCUUGGACAUGGGGGAGAGUUCGGGUUCACCGGGCACACCCCGUAGAAUAUGGAUUCAAUUACACCUCAUUGUACUGCGGUGUCUAUAAACAACGAUGUUUUCACAGCUGAUAGUGGCCCACCGUUCUGCGGGUCAUGCACUCCAACUUUGAAGUUGUUAAUGACGAUAAUGACGUGCGAUAAUGAAGCGUUCGAGCCGCGCCGGCAACUGGAACGCGAUGAGAGCGAGAAGGAGGACUCGAGGAGGACGCGUUUCGGCCCCCGUCGUCGCAAUGACGAGGAGGAAAAACGGAGGAUCGUGAGAAGACUCGCAGCCGUCGACGCCAUUAUCCCUGCUGAGUUGCAGAGCGUCGCGACGCCGCAAUAUCGACGUACCGCCUACCGUAUGUCCCUCCGUUUCCUGCUCUUUUUCUCUCCUUGCUAUAUCUCUCUCUCUCUCCGGAUCCACCCCCACGCGAAACACAAGAAGCACUUUUAGGGUGUUUCAGUUAUCAACUCUUCGGCGGUUUCGGCCAUCUUGCCACUACCCUCUUUUAAUGCAAAACUGUUGUCGAGAACGUUGUUCUUGAAAUGCGAAAUUUGAUGAGUUUGAAAGAUACCUUGCAAAUAAUGGCAGAUCUUCCAAAUCUAUCUCGCCCGACUUUUAAUUAUAAAACUUAGGUAGUUAACAAAGAAAUAGGUGAUAAUAUCUUAUUUAAACAUAAACUUUUGACUUAAUUUAACAAGCAAAAAAGUUUUUAAAGUUUGCGAUGUUUUUAUUGUCGGGAAAUUUUACCUGAAGGUUUAUGCAUCGAUUUCUAAUCUGUCAGAAAAAACAUGAAUUUUAUUUCAUAUCAAUUGCACUUUUUAAAGGUUUGCGAAAUAGAUGAUAGACAAAUUUUCAGAACUACUUUUAUUUGGCUUUGUUAUUCACAAUGGUGAUGAUGAUGCUCGCCGCACAUCAUCUCUAUUAUUCUACCGCGAUAAUGAUGUAUAAACGAUGUACUUAUCUUUUAAUUCUAUUUUGAUCAUUUUUAUUUACAAACCACGUCCUGCUGAACGUUCGUAAAAAUAUUUCAUAGAUAUACAGAUGUAUAGAUUUGAUGGUACAAAGGAUGAAAAGAUGGAAACUGAAUUGGCUGUUGCAAAAUAAACUCAAUUUACUUUCUUUUUAAAAAUAAAAUCUAA